RNAcentral lists this long non-coding RNA (224 nucleotides) under Bos indicus x Bos taurus (hybrid cattle). RNAcentral describes it as "lncRNA (ENSBIXG00005000903.1)". Lineage: Eukaryota; Metazoa; Chordata; Mammalia; Artiodactyla; Bovidae. The record is from RNAcentral.
UUGAGGUUUGGUUUGGAUGGAGGCCAGUGAAUUCAGGGUGUAGAAUAGAAGCAACACACUGUGAUCAACAGGGCUUCCAUCCAGAACAAGGUAAGACUUCAGAUCGCAGAGCUCCAGGAGCCAAAUCAAGGAGCAGCCAUCACAGGGCCAUCAUGGAGCUUGGUGAUCAUCCAAUGAAGGUACAUGAGCAGCUUUGGAGAGCUGGCUUCUAAAUCUUCAAGAGC